UUCGCGGGUCGACCUAGGGAACCGUGAACUGGUACGGUCGUUCCGGAACGCGGGUCGAAGUCGACCCGGAACACUCGGGAUGGCGUUCCAGUUCGCCAUUUCCGGCGAACUCUGAUCACUUACCGGCGACUAUAAAACGAGGAUGAAAUUAAGAAGAAAGAGGCGAGUAGUGGUGUUUUACCUGACCUGUGAUAUGUAUAUAUGUGGAUAUAUGUAUACAUGACUGUUUGCAGCUGAAGGUGAUGUGUGGUUUGUGGAGAAGAUGAAGCGGGGGAGAAGACAACACAGAUACCAAUGUGAUAACUCAUGAAAGUUAUGGUAGAUCGUGCUGGAUAAUAAUAAUAUAUGUAUAAGUUUUGUGUGUGUCUAUUUAAUGUGUAACCCCUGCAUUCAUUUCUAGACCCACCUAAUGCAUUUGCUGCUUGGACAAGAGCCCACGUUGGAAAGUUUCAGCACUCUCUCCGUUAUUUUUUGACGCUUUGUUUUUUUUUAAUUUUAUAAAUAAAAAUAUGUGCUGAAAAUUUAAUUGAUAAAAAAAUGAUGAAUAAAUAUAAUAAUUUUUACCAUCCAGUCAACCCGUUUAAAGACCAAAAGGGAUAAAAAAUUAUUUUAUUAUGCACCUCGUUUCACAUAAGAAACAAUUCUUAUUAUUUUUUAUUUAUUACUCUAGACUACCCCUUUUAAUAUGAAUUUUGCCAAAAUAAGAUUUUUAUAUUUUUUUAAUAUAAAAAUUACGGGAUCCUUAAUUCGACCCGCGAACCCGAUUCACGGCUCCUCGUACCCGAUUCAUCCAUACUCACGUCCCGCGUACCCGAAUUCAUACCGCGUACCGAAUCGAUCCACGAUCCAUGUAACUAUGGUUCUACGAGCCAUCCGUAGUUACUGGAUUAAAAAGCGAAAACAGAAGCGUUCCGCCCUGGUCAAGAUUUUCCAGGUACUAUCUUUUUGUGACCCAUAAUUAAUAGGUGUUAUUAAUUCAUCAGGUUUUACAGUAUUUGACAUAUGCACUAAUUAUUCAUGAUUAUGAUUUAUCAUUUCUGAUAGUUGUAUCAAUCAAGAACUCGAGUUUUAAGAAAGGCGGAUCAUGGCAAGAAAAGAUCAUUGACUCGAAAAGCUAGAGAAGAUGUAAUUAGGGAGAAGCGAGCAACUGUCCUUCAAGGUAUAUACUGUUGCAUCAAGAAUGUCAUCCUUAUCUUGUUUAAUACACCAUUUCACUAGUCAUUCUAGUUCAAGAGUACCUAAGGUUGGAAGUGUACAUUCCUCUAAGUAGCCACUUAAGUUUCUAAAUAAAUUCCUGGCUUGAACUACAGGCAUUGCAGCUGAACAUAAGAAAAACGAAAAAAAGGUUUCCCUAGAGGCUGAUGCUGCACUUACUAAAUUAGAUGAUUUAGACCUUGGAAAGGGUAAAAGAGCCCAACUGCUGAUGGAGGUUGCAGAUAAGUGUACUUACAAAGCCACUAUGGCUCUUAGAGUUUUUGAAGCAAUUGGACAGGGAAAAUCACUCGUAGAUAUUGCCAAAAAUCUUAUCGACUGACCUAGCUAACUGCAGUUUAGUUGCUUUAUUUCUGCCCAGGACAAACAGUUUCUCUCCCAUUUAUUUUGGGAAGAUUGAAGCCUCUUUUUUGAAAUCUUGCAUAUCCCUUGUUGCAAUACAUGCAAGAAUUUGUAAUAUUCUCAAUAAUUUUUUAAUCUACCACAUCUCUUGAUUAUAAUUUAUUAUUUAUUUCACUGUAGAUAUAGGUAAAUAAAAUUUUUUAACAGGAACAAAAACAUUUAAAUGAAUAAUUUUAACAUUCUCUCUUUAAAUGGACUAUAUGAUUUGUUUACUUAUAUUUAGUGAUAUAUAGUUAUUAUUUCUUACUAGUUUAUUUUUGUAGUUGACACUUAAGUGACUGUUUUAUAAAAUGACAUUAUACAUGUGGUUCAUACCAAUAUUAACAAUUAAGUAAUUAAUAUUAUACAUUCUCAAAAAAAAAAGUAAUUAAUAUUAUAAUGAUAUCACGUCUUAAUUUGAUUGGUUUUAAAUGAAACUUCUAACCAUUUUUAAAUUUUCGAUUUAUUAUGUCAAAUUACAUAUAUUAUAUUCAACGAUUUUUUUAAAAAAUUUGUAGAAAAUUUAUUUGCAGGCACCAUAGAAAUUUAAAAAGUUAAUGAGACAAAAAUUGGAAAGAGAGUAUUCUCGAUUAUGCACAUAGAACACUAUAUUAAAAUUUUAGUUAUUGAAUAAUUUAGAAAAAUACUUUAUUGAAAUCAAUUUUUUAAUUAAAUUUUCUAAAUUUAAUUUUAAUAUUUGAUAAGCAUAAAAUUUCAUUGGUUAUACUGUAUGAGUCAACAUUUAACUUUAUGCUCAAGAUAUGUAUUUAAAGUUCAUUCUUAAGUAAAAUAGUAUCAAAAAUAUAAUAUAAAUACUCAGAUACACUAUAUAUAUCCUAAUAAAACUACUUAUCAUCACCCUAUUAAAAUAUAUAUGAACUCAAUUGAGAUGUUAAUAUAUUCAAAAAUAUCUGUAAAAGAAUAAUCUCGGACCAACAAUUUUUCUUAAAUUAUCGAGGAUUAGUAUACACUAUGUUUUGUUGGAUUCACACAACUAAUUUUAAAUGAUAAAUAUAAUAAUUUAUCAUAUUAUUAAUUAUUAAUUUUUAAUAUUUCGAUGUUUUACAAAAUAUCUGAUAAUAAAUAAAUGAUAUCAACAAUUUUUAUUUGGAAAUUAUUCUUUUAAUAUAUUAAAGGAUAUAUCCAUCAAACCAUAGAAAAUAAGGAAACACCCAAUAUUAUUUAAAAAUAAAAAAAUAAAAUAAAAUAUAUUUAAUCUUUACUAGUCAUGUAUAUUAAUUUAUGAUUCGUGAGAUUAUUGAGAAUAUCUCACGAUACUAAUAAUCUUAAGACAUAUAGAAUAAUCCGGAACAUACUAGAACUUUAAUUUCAAUUCAAAAUUAUGAGAACAUUCCGGAACUUGCAAGAACUUUGUUUGUAUAUUAAUCCAACGGCUGAGAUGAGAAUAUGAAAAUUAUAUAUGCAAGCUUUCUUCUUCAAAUUGUUCGUUGUCCCAACCACAAAUAAUUGAAUACCAUAAUAAACCCAAUUCUCAUCUGAGAACCCAUCCACAAACUCUCAUUAGCAAUAUCAUAUACGAUUUUCAAUGAUUCAAACUUUUUCUAUUUGUAAAUUUUACUUUCACCAAAUCCUAGCACUAAUUCUUAUCAUUUAGGUGUGGAUCAGGUAUGCAUUUGUGAAUUUAUUUAUGUUUUAUCGUUCAAUUAAAGAUUAAAAAUUAUAGUAACAAUCAAGCCCACAAGUAUAUGUUAUAGUUUUCAUUUUAAUUUUUUAAUUAUUUUUUGGUUGUAAGAACUUGUUGGUAAAAUUAUAAACUAGAUUUUAUAUUUUCUUAUGUUUAACUAAUGUGAUCUUUUUGCAAGGCAGGUGUUUGUUCCCUCACUCCUUAAACAAUGAAGAUUAUGCUCCAAGUAUGGUGAUGCCCUUAUUUUUAAUCCUUUUAUAAAUUUUAUCGGUCUUCUUAGUAUCAUGACUUGUCUGCAGUGUUUAUGUUUACUUUUAACUUGUGCAUAAGUUAAAUUCUUUCAUUUUUUAUUAUUGGGAUGGUAGGUUAUGGCCUUUGAAGUUUAUAAGUGCAAUUCAAUGGAGUUUGAUGAGCCAAUUAAAUUCUGAAAACACCCAUCAACCUCAACUAUAAAUGAGGCCUCCCUACAUCUCUUAAGGGAUAUAGGAGGGCAUUCUCUCAUAUUUGGGAAGAGCAGUGGACUCCGAAAGAAAGGUUCAUACAAGCUGGCGAAAAUAAUUGCAAGCUUCUUUGUCUAAUAUGUGAUCAAUAAUUUCAACCUUAGUAGAAAUUUUUAUAAAGACACGUUGUAAGAGUUUCAAACAUUAUAAAUAUGUAUUUUACUUGAUGUAAGAGUUUCAAGUUUAUAUACGCAUUUUACCCACAUAAUUCUACUCGUGAUGAGAGAAAACUUACAUAUAUUUAUGUUCAUGGCUUCUAUGCUGUCAAAGUGAAUGGAGAGGGCAUUUUUCAAGAAAAAUCAAAACAGGUUAACAAGUAAAACUCUAAAUACAAUAUAUAGAGGAAAAUAUAAGGUCAAUGAAUUCAAGGUAAAAUGAAUGAGGAUUAUUACAUUUGUAUGUCUCUCCUAUACUUAAAUUAUAGUGCAAAAAUAUUUGUAAAUAUAAUUAUAAUAAAUUUAUAUUGUCUAUUUUAAUUUAUUCCCAAAAUCACACUUUAUCCUUCUAAUUAUAAUUCAUCAUUAUUAGAAUGUCAAUAAUAUUUUUAGAAUCACAUAAAGAAUUAUGAAAAAUUCAAGUAAAAUUCUUACAAAUUAUAAAACGUAGACAGAAGCCGAUUUUCUUUUUAUCUUUCAUUCAAAGUUCAAGCUUUAAAAUCAAAUUAGAUUUGUAGUAAAUAUUAAAAAUAUAUCUAAAAGAGGGUGCAUCCAAAUGACUCCUUCAAAUGUAUCCAAUUCAUAUUUUGGAUGUCUUUUUCACAUUACUUGUACCAACUAUAUUGUUUAUCUAAUCAAAACAAGUUAUUUUUGACCAGAUGGCUAAAAUCCACCUUAUGACUGACGGCCGAUUUCAACUAAAUUUGACCAAAUGCAGUCAAAUUUAACUAAAUUUGAUCGGAAAUGGCGGUAAAAUUUACCAGUUUAAUUUUUUUUAUUUUAAAUAAUAUAAAACAUCAAAUGAUAAUAUUUUAAUUAACAUAUCCAUUUUUAAAUUUAUAAUGAACAUAACUUUGGAGACUUUGGCCUAAAUGAGCCAAGAACCGCCUAACAAAGUAACAUGCUCAUCAACAAUUUCAACAGUCUAUUGAUGAAUGGAGCAUAGUGAAGAAGGUGCUUUAAAGUAUCAACACAAGAAUUGGUCUCCAUCCGAAAUAGACAAUUUAUCAAAGAAAAAGGUGCACCAAAUAAAUUUAAGGAAGAUAACAAGAAAUCAAUAUACCUUCCAUGCUCUAUCUGAAAAAGAGCAAAUCAUCUUAAAAAGGAUUGCUUGCACAAAAGAAAGCAUUAGUGCAAAGUUUGUAAAAAAGUUUGGACCUAGUGAACAAAUUUGCAGAUUUAGAAAAAGCCACGAGGAGUGAUUGAAGAAAAUGAUUAACAUUUUUAUGCCUAUCAUGCAACUAGAACAAAAUAGAAAAAUGGUUGGUGCACAUAAUUGUAUACAAAAUUGUGUACAUAAUGACAUGUGCCGGGCUUUAAUUGGAAUGUACACAAUUAUGUGCACCUAGCACUACUCAACAAAAUAUGAUGAUACAUGGCUCAUUAAUAAUAGAUGAACAACACACACGACAAAAAUUUAAAGUCUAUUUUAUAAUGUGGAUUCUACAAUAAAUAUAUCAAUCAAUUAAUAUACCAACUUCGAAUAUAAAGAAAGAGUAUCAUUGUUAUUUAAUUUAAGAAAGGUACGUGUUAUGGAUAAAAACAAAGGACAAGCUUAGUGCUUUAAUGACUGCUUAAUGUGAAGGGUCAAAGGAGAUGAAAAAGAACAGAAGACCUCAUGUUCUAGUUCAGGAGUACGAAUAUUUGAAAUUGCAAAACCAAAACAGAUAUUAACUGAUAUUUGUGAAAAGUCUUGGAACCUAGUGAGUUAGUGCACUUCAACAAAAUUAAUGGUGUUUGAAAACUACAAUCAUAACUCAUAUUCAAGUGUCUCUUGAUGAAGUAUAUACCAUAAUGAUGACUAAUGAUUUGGAGAUGAAAAAAAAAGAGAAAAAGGGUUAGAUAAGAUUUUGUAUGUUUCUUUGAAUGCCAAACAAAGUAAGCAAUUAGAAAAUAUAACUAUAAUUAUAUGCAAGGGAAAGUUGUUCAAACUCUCACUCAUGUUUUAUAAUUUAGUGAGCCCUUAGCUAGAGAGUAGGAGUAGAGGUGGAUCAUAUUAUCAUAACUAAUAUAAAGUAUUAUAUUGAAUUUAUAUUUAGGAUAUAAUUAUGAGCUAGAUAAUUAUAAUUAUGUUUAAUUUUUUUUAAACUUUUUAAAUUUGUAUAAAAUGAUUAUAUAUUUAGAAACAUAUGUGUUAUCAUUUUAACUAAAAUAUAUAUACAAUGAUAUUUAAUUUAAAAUUAAUAUAUAUGGGCUCUCAAAGUAGAUCUUUUACUUUUAAGCAACUGAUCAUAAUAAAAUUGGUUUUUAAUUUAUCCAUGAUUAGGCCUAGCCCAAUCCUAAAAACCCUACAAAUUUUACUAUAUAUACGUCUUAUCCUAAUUAUUCAAUUUGCCCCCUACUUCAUCAUUUCAAUUUUUGCCGCCUAUCUCAUCAUUUUAAUAUCUGCCUCCUACCUCAUCAUUUUAAAACCCCCAAAAGAUACUCACACAUUGUGAGAAAAGCAUCUGACAAUUAACGAGUGUUAAUUCUAGUGGCACCUUUAGACUGAGAGCUACUUCAUCGUUCAUUGUGAGAAAGACAGUUGUCAGUCUUCAGUACAGUGAUGUCUCUCAUUGGACUUCCUAAUUUGUUUGGGGUGAAAUCUCACCUGGAAAAUCCUAUGGUGAGUGCCAUUCCUGUCCCUGCUGCAGUUAAAGUAUCUAGCCAUGCUGACAUCGAUUAUGUCCCGUUCAGGAGACCAGAGUCUUACAUCACGUGCAAAGAUGAUGAGCUGACUAGAGUGUUGGGGAGGGAAAGUUCAGUUUAUGAAAUGGAUUGUGAGGAUGAGGAAUGGUUAAACAAAUUUUAAGACAGAAAAAGGAUGUGAGGAGCCCAUUUCUGCUGAUUUUUUUGAGAUGAUUAUUAGUUCAUUCGAGAAGAGAUUAUUCUGUGAUCAAGGUAAUCGUGCGGAUGUAAAGGCUGCCGUUGACCAUUGCAUAUCUCUGGGAAGAAGAGAUGUUCUACGAACCAUCUAUAGUUACUGGAUUAAGAAACGAAAACAGAAGCGUUCGGCCCUGGUCAAGGUUUUCCUGCAGGUACUAUAUCUUUUUGUGACCCAUAAAUAUGUGUUAUUCAUCAGGUUUUACAGUAUUUGACAUGCACUAAUUAUUCAUGAUUAUGAUUGAUCAUUUCUGAUAGUUGUAUCAAUCAAGAACUCGAGUUUUAAGAAAGGCGGAUCAUGGCAAGAAAAGAUCAUUGACUCGAGAAGCUAGAGAAAAUGUAAUUAGGGAGAAGCGAGCAACUGUCCUUCAAGGUAUAUACUGUUGCACCAAGAAUGUCAUCCUUAUCUUGUUUAAUACAUCAUUUCAGUCAUUCUUAUUCAAGAGUACCAGGAAGAUGAAUAUGUACUAUUAUAUAAGUAUACAUUCCUCUAAGUAGCCACUUAAGUUUUUAAAUAAAUUCCUGGCUUGAACUACAUGCAUUGCAGCUGAAGAGAAGAAAAAAGAAUUGAAGGUUGCCUUAGAGGCUGGUGCUGCACUUACUAGAUUAGAGGAUGUAGCCCUUGGAAAGCGUAAAAGAGCCCAAAUGCUGAUGGAGGUUGCAGAUAAGUGUACUUACAAAGCCACUAUGGCUCUUAGAAUUUCUAAAGCAAUUGCACAAGGAAAAUCACUUGUAGAUGUUGCCAAUCAAACUAGAUUUGUAGUAAAUACUUAAAAUAUAUCUUAAAGAAGGUGUAUCCAAAUGAAUCCUUCAAAUGUAUCCAAUUCUUAUUUCUGGAUGUCUUUUUCUCACAUUACUUGUACCAACUAUAUUGUUUAUCUAAUCAAAACAAGUUAUUAUUUGACCGAAGAUGGCUAAAGUCCACUAAGCUAUGAUUGAUCGCCGAUUCCGGUCAAAAUUAACUAUAUUUGACCGAACGUGGACUACAAAAUGUAGGGCAAAACCGACCGCCUAAAACCAACUGGCGCGAAAAAAGUGUCGGGUUAAAACAGAUCGGCCGAAGUCCGUCGGUUUUGAUAAUAACUACGUCGUUUUGCUUUGCUGGCUAGACUCCGACUUAUUUUAACCGACCACUUUCAUCGCGAUCGGUUUUAUAGCUGACGUGUCCGGGUCAUAACUGACCAGGUCAUCGGUCGGUUAUGUUUUUGUGUAAAUUUAAUCAAUUUUUUAAAAAAUUAUUAGACAAGACGACAGCGUUUUUGUGCGUAAAUUUGACCGGAAAUUGCGGUCAAAUUUACCCAUUUUUCUAGUAGUGUCAAUUUAAUUGUUUUUUAUUUUAAAUAAUAUGAAACAUCAAAUAAUAAUAUUUUAAUUAACAUAUCCACUUUUAAAUUUAUAAUGAACAUAACUUUAGAGACUUUGGCCUAAAUGAGCUAAGAACCCCCUAACAAAGUAACAUGCUCAACAAUGUCAACAGUCUAUCAAUGAAUGGAGCAUAGUGAAGAAGGUGCUUUAAAGUAUCAACACAAGAAUUGGUCCCCAUCCGAAAUAGACAAUUUAUCAAAGAAAAAGGUGCAUCGGAUGAUUUUAAGGAAGAUAACAAGAAAUCAAUAUACCUUCCAUACUCUAUCUGAAAAAGAGCAAAUAAUUAGUGCAAAGUUUGUAAAAAAGUUUGGACCUAGUGAACAAAUUUGUGGAUUUAUUGAAGAAAAUGAUUAACAUUUUUAUGUCUAUCAUGCUGCUAGAACAAAAUAUGAUGAUACAUGGCUCAAUAAUAAUGGGUGAACAACACACAUGACUAAAACUUAAAGUCUAUUAUAAUGUGGAUUUUACAAUAAAUUUAUCAAUCAAUUAAUAUACCAACGCAUAGUGAUGACAGAACCUUGUCGAAUAUAAAGAAAGAUUAUCAUUGAUAUUUCACAACUUUCCCUUACAUAUAAUUAUAAUUAUAUGUAAAGGAAAGUUGUUAAAACUCUCAAGGAGGGCCUGUUUUAUAAUUUAGUGAGCCCUUAAAGAGUAGGAGUAGACGUGGAUCAUAUGACAUAAAAAAUUUAAAAGCUAAAUAAAUAUUAUCAUAAUUAACUAAUAUAAAGUAUUAUGUAGUAUUGAAUUUAUAUUUAGGAUAUAAUUAUGAGCUAGCUAAUUAUAAUCAUGUUUAAUUUUAUUUAAAACUUUUUAAAUUUGUAUAAAAUGAUCAUAUAUUUAGACACAUAUGUGUUAUCAUUUUAACUAAAAUAUAUAUACUAUGAUAUUUAAUUUAAAAUUAAUAUAUUUGGGCUCCCAAAUUAGAUCUUUUACGGUUAAGCAACUGAUCAUAAUAAAAUUGGUUUUUUAAUAUAUCCAUGAUUAGGCCCAGCCCAAUUCUAAAAACCCUACAAAUUUUACUAUAUAUACUACUUAUCCUAAUUAUUCAAUUUGCCCCCUACCUCAUCAUUUCAGUUUUUGCCGCCUAUCUCAUCUUUUUAAUAUCUGCCGCCUACCUCAUCAUAUUAAAACCCCCAAAAGAUACUCACACAUUGUGAGAAAAUCAGCUAACAAUUAACGAGUGUUAAUUCUAGUGGUACCAUUAGACUGAGAGGUACUUCAUAGUUCAUUGUGAGAAAGGCAGUUGUCAGUCUUCAUCAGUAUACAGUGAUGUCUCUCAUUGGACUAUGGUGAGUGCCAUUCCAGUCCCGGCUGCAGUUAAAGUAUCUAGCCAUGCUGACAUCGAUUAUGCCCCGUUCAGGAGACCAGAGUCUUACAUCAUGUGGAAAGAUGAUGAACUGACUAGAGUGCUGGGGAGGGAAAGUGCAAUUUAUGAAAUGGAUUGUGAGGAUGAGGAAUGGUUGAAGAAAUUUAAUACAGAAAAAGGAAGUGAUGAGCCCAUCUCUGCUGAUUUUUUUGAGAUGAUUAUUAGUUCAUUCGAGAAGAGAUUAUUCUGUGAUCAAGGUAAUCGUCUGGAUUUUAAGGCUGCUGUUGACCAUUGUAUAUCUCUCGGAAGAAGAGAUGUUCUACGAGCCAUCCAUAGUUACUGGAUUAAAAAGCGAAAACAGAAGCGUUCCGCCCUGGUCAAGGUUUUCCAGGUAAUAUCUUUUUGUGACCUAUAAAUAUGUUUUUUUUGACAUGGUUAUUCAUGAUUAUUAAUUUUAUGAUUCUUCAUGAUGGAUCAUUUCUGAUAGGUCUAUCAAUCAAGAACUCGAGUUUUAAGAAAGGCAAAUCAUGGCAAGAAAAGAUCAUUGACUCGAAAAGAUAGAGAAAAUGAAAUUAGGGACAUGCGAGCAACUCUCCUUCAAGGUAUAUACUGUUGCCCCAGGAAUGUCAUCCUUAUCUUGUUUAAUAAAUCAUUUCAGUCAUUCUUAUUCAAGAGUACCAGGAAGAUGAAUAUGUACUAUUAUAUAAGUAUACAUUCCUCUAAGCAGUCCCUUUAUAAGUUUUUAAAUGAAUUUCUGGUUUGAACAACAGGCAUUGCAGCUGAACAGAAGAAAAACGAAAAAAAGGUUGCCCUAGAGGCUGAUGCUGCACUUACUAAAUUAGAUGAUUUAGUCCUUGGAAAGCGUAAAAAAGCCCAACUGCUGAUGGAGGUUGCAGAUAAGUGUACUUACAAAGCAACUAUGGCUCUUAGAAUUUCUGAAGCAAUUGGGCAAGGAAAACCACUGGUAGAUGUUGCCAAAAAUCUUCUCGGCUGACCUAGCUAACUGCAGUUUAGUUGCUUUAUUUCUGCCCAGGACAAACAGUUUCUCUCCCAUUUAUUUUGGGAAGAUUGAAGCCUCUUUUUUGAAGUCUUCCAUAUCUCUUGUUGCAAUAUAUGCAAGAAUUUGUAAUAUAUACAAUAAUUUUUUAAUCUACCACAUCUCUUGAUUAUAAUUUAUUAUUUAUUUCACUGUAGAUAUAGGUAAAUAAAAUUUUUUAACAGGAACAAAAACAUUUAAAUGAAUAAUUUUAACAUUCUCUCUUUAAAUGGACUAUAUGAUUUGUUUACUUAUAUUUAGUGAUAUAUAGUUAUUAUUUCUUACUAGUUUAUUUUUGUAGUUGACACUUAAGUGACUGUUUUAUAAAAUGACAUUAUACAUGGUUCAUACCAAUAUUAACAAUUAAGUAAUUAAUAUUAUAAUGAUAUCACGUCUUAAUUUGAUUGGUUUUAAAUGAAACUUCUAACCAUUUUUAAAUUUUCGAUUUAUUAUGUCAAAUUACAUAUAUUAUAUUCAACGAUUUUUUUAAAAAAUUUGUAGAAAAUUUAUUUUCAGGCACCAUAGAAAUUUAAAAAGUUAAUGAGACAAAAAUUGGAAAGAGAGUAUUCUCGAUUAUGCACAUAGAACACUAUAUUAAAAUUUUAGUUAUUGAAUAAUUUAGAAAAAUACUUUAUUGAAAUCAAUUUUUUAAUUAAAUUUUCUAAAUUUAAUUUUAAUAUUUGAUAAGCAUAAAAUUUCAUUGGUUAUACUGUAUGAGUCAACAUUUAACUUUAUGCUCAAGAUACGUAUUUAAAGUUCAUUCUUAAGUAAAAUAGUAUCAAAAAUAUAAUAUAAAUACUCAAAUACACUAUAUAUAUCCUAAUAAAACUACUUAUCAUCACCCUAUUAAAAUAUAUAUGAACUCAAUUGAGAUGUUAAUAUAUUCAAAAAUAUCUGUAAAAGAAUAAUCUCGGACCAACAAUUUUUCUUAAAUUAUCGAGGAUUAGUAUACACUAUGUUUUGUUGGAUUCACACAACUAAUUUUAAAUGAUAAAUAUAAUAAUUUAUCAAAUUAUUAAUUUUUAAUAUUUCGAUGUUUUACAAAAUAUCUGAUAAUAAAUAAAUGAUAUCAACAAUUUUUAUUUGGAAAUUAUUCUUUUAAUAUAUUAAAGGAUAUAUCCAUCAAACCAUAGAAAAUAAGGAAACACCCAAUAUUAUUUAAAAAUAAAAAAAUAAAAUAAAAUAUAUUUAAUCUUUACUAGUCAUGUAUAUUAAUUUAUGAUUCGUGAGAUUAUUGAGAAUAUCUCACGAUACUAAUAAUCUUAAGACAUAUAGAAUAAUCCGGAACAUACUAGAACUUUAAUUUCAAUUCAAAAUUAUGAGAACAUUCCGGAACUUGCAAGAACUUUGUUUGUAUAUUAAUCCAACGGCUGAGAUGAGAAUAUGAAAAUUAUAUAUGCAAGCUUUCUUCUUCAAAUUGUUCGUUGUCCCAACCACAAAUAAUUGAAUACCAUAAUAAACCCAAUUCUCAUCUGAGAACCCAUCCACAAACUCUCAUUAGCAAUAUCAUAUACGAUUUUCAAUGAUUCAAACUUUUUCUAUUUGUAAAUUUUACUUUCACCAAAUCCUAGCACUAAUUCUUAUCAUUUAGGUGUGGAUCAGGUAUGCAUUUGUGAAUUUAUUUAUGUUUUAUCUUUCAAUUAAAGAUUAAAAAUUAUAGUAACAAUCAAGCCCACAAGUAUAUGUUAUAGUUUUCAUUUUAAUUUUUUAAUUAUUUUUUGGUUGUAAGAACUUGUUGGUAAAAUUAUAAACUAGAUUUUAUAUUUUCUUAUGUUUAACUAAUGUGAUCUUUUUGUAAGGCAGGUGUUUGUUCCCUCACUCCUUAAACAAUGAAGAUUAUGCUCCAAGUAUGGUGAUGCCCUUAUUUUUAAUCCUUUUAUAAAUUUUAUCGGUCUUCUUAGUAUCAUGACUUGUCUGCAGUGUUUAUGUUUACUUUUAACUUGUGCAUAAGUUAAAUUCUUUCAUUUUUUAUUAUUGGGAUGGUAGGUUAUGGCCUUUGAAGUUUAUAAGUGCAAUUCAAUGGAGUUUGAUGAGCCAAUUAAAUUCUGAAAACACCCAUCAACCUCAACUAUAAAUGAGGCCUCCCUACAUCUCUUAAGGGAUAUAGGAGGGAAUUCUCUCAUAUUUGGGAAGAGCAGUGGACUCCGAAAGAAAGGUUCAUACAAGCUGACGAAAAUAAUUGCAAGCUUCUUUGUCUAAUAUGUGAUCAAUAAUUUCAACCUUAGUAGAAAUUUUUAUAAAGACACGUUGUAAGAGUUUCAAACAUUAUAAAUAUGUAUUUUACUUGAUGUAAGAGUUUCAAGUUUAUAUACGCAUUUUACCCACAUAAUUCUACUCGUGAUGAGAGAAAACUUACAUAUAUUUAUGUUCAUGGCUUCUAUGCUGUCAAAGUGAAUGGAGAGGGCAUUUUUCAAGAAAAAUCAAAACAGGUUAACAAGUAAAACUCUAAAUAAAAUAUAUAGAGGAAAAUAUAAGGUCAAUGAAUUCAAGGUAAAAUGAAUGAGGAUUAUUACAUUUGUAUGUCUCUCCUAUACUUAAAUUAUAGUGCAAAAAUAUUUGUAAAUAUAAUUAUAAUAAAUUUAUAUUGUCUAUUUUAAUUUAUUCCCAAAAUCACACUUUAUCCUUCUAAUUAUAAUUCAUCAUUAUUAGAAUGUCAAUAAUAUUUUUAGAAUCACAUAAAGAAUUAUGAAAAAUUCAAGUAAAAUUCUUACAAAUUAUAAAACGUAGACAGAAGCCGAUUUUCUUUUUAUCUUUCAUUCAAAGUUCAAGCUUUAAAAUCAAAUUAGAUUUGUAGUAAAUAUUAAAAAUAUAUCUAAAAGAGGGUGCAUCCAAAUGACUCCUUCAAAUGUAUCCAAUUCAUAUUUUGGAUGUCUUUUUAACAUUACUUGUACCAACUAUAUUGUUUAUCUAAUCAAAACAAGUUAUUUUUGACCAGAUGGCUAAAAUCCACCUUAUGACUGACGGCCGAUUUCAACUAAAUUUGACCAAAUGCAGUCAAAUUUAACUAAAUUUGAUCGGAAAUGGCGGUAAAAUUUACCAGUUUAAUUUUUUUUAUUUUAAAUAAUAUAAAACAUCAAAUGAUAAUAUUUUAAUUAACAUAUCCAUUUUUAAAUUUAUAAUGAACAUAACUUUGGAGACUUUGGCCUAAAUGAGCCAAGAACCGCCUAACAAAGUAACAUGCUCAUCAACAAUUUCAACAGUCUAUUGAUGAAUGGAGCAUAGUGAAGAAGGUGCUUUAAAGUAUCAACACAAGAAUUGGUCUCCAUCCGAAAUAGACAAUUUAUCAAAGAAAAAGGUGCACCAAAUAAAUUUAAGGAAGAUAACAAGAAAUCAAUAUACCUUCCAUGCUCUAUCUGAAAAAGAGCAAAUCAUCUUAAAAAGGAUGUACCUUCCAUGCUCUAUCUGAAAAAGAGCAAAUCAUCUUAAAAAGGAUUGCUUGCACAAAAGAAAGCAUUAGUGCAAAGUUUGUAAAAAAGUUUGGACCUAGUGAACAAAUUUGCAGAUUUAGAAAAAGCCACGAGGAGUGAUUGAAGAAAAUGAUUAACAUUUUUAUGCCUAUCAUGCAACUAGAACAAAAUAGAAAAAUGGUUGGUGCACAUAAUUGUAUACAAAAUUGGGUACAUAAUGACAUGUGCCGGGCUUUAAUUGGAAUGUACACAAUUAUGUGCACCUAGCACUACUCAACAAAAUAUGAUGAUACAUGGCUCAUUAAUAAUAGAUGAACAACACACACGACAAAAAUUUAAAGUCUAUUUUAUAAUGUGGAUUCUACAAUAAAUAUAUCAAUCAAUUAAUAUACCAACUUCGAAUAUAAAGAAAGAGUAUCAUUGUUAUUUAAUUUAAGAAAGGUACGUGUUAUGGAUAAAAACAAAGGACAAGCUUAGUGCUUUAAUGACUGCUUAAUGUGAAGGGUCAAAGGAGAUGAAAAAGAACAGAAGACCUCAUGUUCUAGUUCAGGAGUACGAAUAUUUGAAAUUGCAAAACCAAAACAGAUAUUAACUGAUAUUUGUGAAAAGUCUUGGAACCUAGUGAGUUAGUGCACUUCAACAAAAUUAAUGGUGUUUGAAAACUACAAUCAUAACUCAUAUUCAAGUGUCUCUUGAUGAAGUAUAUACCAUAAUGAUGACUAAUGAUUUGGAGAUGAAAAAAAAAGAGAAAAAGGGUUAGAUAAGAUUUUGUAUGUUUCUUUGAAUGCCAAACAAAGUAAGCAAUUAGAAAAUAUAACUAUAAUUAUAUGCAAGGGAAAGUUGUUCAAACUCUCACUCAUGUUUUAUAAUUUAGUGAGCCCUUAGCUAGAGAGUAGGAGUAGAGGUGGAUCAUAUUAUCAUAACUAAUAUAAAGUAUUAUAUUGAAUUUAUAUUUAGGAUAUAAUUAUGAGCUAGAUAAUUAUAAUUAUGUUUAAUUUUUUUUAAACUUUUUAAAUUUGUAUAAAAUGAUUAUAUAUUUAGAAACAUAUGUGUUAUCAUUUUAACUAAAAUAUAUAUACAAUGAUAUUUAAUUUAAAAUUAAUAUAUAUGGGCUCUCAAAGUAGAUCUUUUACUUUUAAGCAACUGAUCAUAAUAAAAUUGGUUUUUAAUUUAUCCAUGAUUAGGCCUAGCCCAAUCCUAAAAACCCUACAAAUUUUACUAUAUAUACGUCUUAUCCUAAUUAUUCAAUUUGCCCCCUACUUCAUCAUUUCAAUUUUUGCCGCCUAUCUCAUCAUUUUAAUAUCUGCCUCCUACCUCAUCAUUUUAAAACCCCCAAAAGAUACUCACACAUUGUGAGAAAAGCAUCUGACAAUUAACGAGUGUUAAUUCUAGUGGCACCUUUAGACUGAGAGCUACUUCAUCGUUCAUUGUGAGAAAGACAGUUGUCAGUCUUCAGUACAGUGAUGUCUCUCAUUGGACUUCCUAAUUUGUUUGGGGUGAAAUCUCACCUGGAAAAUCCUAUGGUGAGUGCCAUUCCUGUCCCUGCUGCAGUUAAAGUAUCUAGCCAUGCUGACAUCGAUUAUGUCCCGUUCAGGAGACCAGAGUCUUACAUCACGUGCAAAGAUGAUGAGCUGACUAGAGUGUUGGGGAGGGAAAGUUCAGUUUAUGAAAUGGAUUGUGAGGAUGAGGAAUGGUUAAACAAAUUUUAAGACAGAAAAAGGAUGUGAGGAGCCCAUUUCUGCUGAUAUUUUUGAGAUGAUUAUUAGUUCAUUCGAGAAGAGAUUAUUCUGUGAUCAAGGUAAUCGUGUGGAUGUAAAGGCUGCCGUUGACCAUUGCAUAUCUCUGGGAAGAAGAGAUGUUCUACGAACCAUCUAUAGUUACUGGAUUAAGAAACGAAAACAGAAGCGUUCGGCCCUGGUCAAGGUUUUCCUGCAGGUACUAUAUCUUUUUGUGACCCAUAAAUAUGUGUUAUUCAUCAGGUUUUACAGUAUUUGACAUGCACUAAUUAUUCAUGAUUAUGAUUGAUCAUUUCUGAUAGUUGUAUCAAUCAAGAACUCGAGUUUUAAGAAAGGCGGAUCAUGGCAAGAAAAGAUCAUUGACUCGAGAAGCUAGAGAAAAUGUAAUUAGGGAGAAGCGAGCAACUGUCCUUCAAGGUAUAUACUGUUGCACCAAGAAUGUCAUCCUUAUCUUGUUUAAUACAUCAUUUCAGUCAUUCUUAUUCAAGAGUACCAGGAAGAUGAAUAUGUACUAUUAUAUAAGUAUACAUUCCUCUAAGUAGCCACUUAAGUUUUUAAAUAAAUUCCUGGCUUGAACUACAUGCAUUGCAGCUGAAGAGAAGAAAAAAGAAUUGAAGGUUGCCUUAGAGGCUGGUGCUGCACUUACUAGAUUAGAGGAUGUAGCCCUUGGAAAGCGUAAAAGAGUCCAAAUGCUGAUGGAGGUUGCAGAUAAGUGUACUUACAAAGCCACUAUGGCUCUUAGAAUUUCUAAAGCAAUUGCACAAGGAAAAUCAAUUGUAGAUGUUGCCAAUCAAAUUAGAUUAGUAGUAAAUACUUAAAAUAUAUCUUAAAGAAGGUGUAUCCAAAUGAAUCCUUCAAAUGUAUCCAAUUCUUAUUUAUGGAUGUCUUUUUCUCACAUUACUUGUACCAACUAUAUUGUUUAUCUAAUCAAAACAAGUUAUUAUUGACCGAAGAUGGCUAAAAUCCACUAAGCUAUGAUUGAUCGCCGAUUCCGGUCAAAAUUAACUAUAUUUGACCAAACGUGGACUACAAAAAUGUAGGGCAAAACCGACCGCCUAAAACCAACUGGCGCGAAAAACGUGUCGGGUUAAAACAGAUCGGCCGAAGUCCGUCGGUUUUGAUAAUAACUACGUCGUUUUGCUUUGCUGGCUAGACUCCGACUUAUUUUAACCGACCACUUUCAUCGCGGUCGGUUUUAUAGCUGACGUGUCUGGGUCAUAACUGACCAGGCCAUCGGUCGGUUAUGUUUUUGUGUAAAUUUAAUCAAAUUUUUAAAAAAUUAUUAGACAAGACGACAGCGUUUUUGUGCGUAAAUUUGACCGGAAAUUGCGGUCAAAUUUACCCAUUUUUCUAGUAGUGUCAAUUUAAUUGUUUUUUAUUUUAAAUAAUAUGAAACAUCAAAUAAUAAUAUUUUAAUUAACAUAUCCACUUUUAAAUUUAUAAUGAACAUAACUUUAGAGACUUUGGCGUAAAUGAGCUAAGAACCCCCUAACAAAGUAACAUGCUCAACAAUUUCAACAGUCUAUCAAUGAAUGGAGCAUAGUGAAGAAGGUGCUUUAAAGUAUCAACACAAAAAUUGGUCUCCAUCCGAAAUAGACAAUUUAUCAAAUAAAAAGGUGCAUCAGAUGAUUUUAAGGAAGAUAACAAGAAAUCAAUAUACCUUCCAUACUCUAUCUGAAAAAGAGCAAAUAAUUAGUGCAAAGUUUGUAAAAAAGUUUGGACCUAGUGAACAAAUUUGUGGAUUUAUUGAAGAAAAUGAUUAACAUUUUUAUGUCUAUCAUGCCGCUAGAACAAAAUAUGAUGAUACAUGGCUCAAUAAUAAUGGGUGAACAACACACUUGACAAAAACUUAAAGUCUAUAUUAUAAUGUGGAUUUUACAAUAAAUAUAUCAAUCAAUUAAUAUACCAACGCAUAGUGAUGACAGAACCUUGUCGAAUAUAAAGAAAGAUUAUCAUUGAUAUUUCACAACUUUCCCUUACAUAUAAUUAUAAUUAUAUGUAAAGGAAAGUUGUUAAAACUCUCAAGGAGGGCCUGUUUUAUAAUUUAGUGAGCCCUUAAAGAGUAGGAGUAGACGUGGAUCAUAUGACAUAAAAAAUUUAAAAGCUAAAUAAAUAUUAUCAUAAUUAACUAAUAUAAAGUAUUAUGUAGUAUUGAAUUUAUAUUUAGGAUAUAAUUAUGAGCUAGCUAAUUAUAAUCAUGUUUAAUUUUAUUUAAAACUUUUUAAAUUUGUAUAAAAUGAUCAUAUAUUUAGACACAUAUGUGUUAUCAUUUUAACUAAAAUAUAUAUACUAUGAUAUUUAAUUUAAAAUUAAUAUAUUUGGGCUCCCAAAUUAGAUCUUUUACGGUUAAGCAACUGAUCAUAAUAAAAUUGGUUUUUUAAUAUAUCCAUGAUUAGGCCCAGCCCAAUUCUAAAAACCCUACAAAUUUUACUAUAUAUACUACUUAUCCUAAUUAUUCAAUUUGCCCCCUACCUCAUCAUUUCAGUUUUUGCCGCCUAUCUCAUCUUUUUAAUAUCUGCCGCCUACCUCAUCAUAUUAAAACCCCCAAAAGAUACUCACACAUUGUGAGAAAAUCAGCUAACAAUUAACGAGUGUUAAUUCUAGUGGUACCAUUAGACUGAGAGGUACUUCAUAGUUCAUUGUGAGAAAGGCAGUUGUCAGUCUUCAUCAGUAUACAGUGAUGUCUCUCAUUGGACUAUGGUGAGUGCCAUUCCAGUCCCGGCUGCAGUUAAAGUAUCUAGCCAUGCUGACAUCGAUUAUGUCCCGUUCAGGAGACCAGAGUCUUACAUCACGUGCAAAGAUGAUGACCUAACUAGAGUGUUGGGGAGGGGAGGUGCAAUUUAUGAAAUGGAUUGUGAGGAUGAGGAAUGGUUGAACAAAUUUAAUACAGAAAAAGGAAGUGAGGAGCCCAUUUCUGCUGAUUUUUUUGAGAUGAUUAUUAGUUCAUUUGAGAAGAGAUUAUUCUGUGAUCAAGGUAAUCGUCUGGAUGUAAAGACUGCUGUUGACCAUUGUAUAUCUCUGGGAAGAAGAGAUGUUCUACGCAUAGUUACCCGGUUCGCGGGUCGACCUAGGGAACCGUGAACUGGUACGGUCGUUCCGGAACGCGGGUCGAAGUCGACCCGGAACACUCGGGAUGGCGUUCCAGUUCGCCAUUUCCGGCGAACUCUGAUCACUUACCGGCGACUAUAAAACGAGGAUGAAAUUAAGAAGAAAGAGGCGAGUAGUGGUGUUUUAUCUGACCUGUGAUAUGUAUGUAUGUGGAUAUAUGUAUACAUGACUGUUUGCAGCUCAAGGUGAUGUGUGGUUUGUGGAGAAGAUGAAGCGGGGGAGAAAACGAAGUGGGGGAGAAGACAACACAGAUACCAAUGUGAUAACUCAUGAAAGUUAUGGUAGAUCGUGCUGGAUAAUAAUAAUAUAUGUAUAAGUUUUGUGUGUGUCUAUUUAAUGUGUAACCCCUGCAUUCAUUUCUAGACCCACCUAAUGCAUUUGCUGCUUGGACAAGAGCCCACUAUGGAAAGUUUCAGCACUCUCUCCGUUAUUUUUUGACGCUUUGUUUUUUUUUUAAUUUUAUAAAUAAAAAUAUGUGCUGAAAAUUUAAUUUAUAAAAAAAUGAUAAAUAAAUAUAAUAAUUUUUACCAUCCAAUCAACCCGUUUAAAGACGAAAAGGGAUAAAAAAUUAUUUUAUUAUGCACCUCGUUUCACAUAAGAAACAAUUCUUAUUAUUUUUUUAUUUAUUACUCUAGACUACGCCUUUUAAUAUGAAUUUUGCCAAAAUAAGAUUUUUAUAUUUUUUUAAUAUAAAAAUUACGGGAUCCUUAAUUCGACCCGCGAACCCGAUUCACGGCUCCUCGUACCCGAUUCAUCCAUACUCACGUCCCGCGUACCCGAAUUCAUACCGCGUACCGAAUCGAUCCACGAUCCAUGUAACUAUGGUUCUACGAGCCAUCCGUAGUUACUGGAUUAAAAAGCGAAAACAGAAGCGUUCCGCCCUGGUCAAGAUUUUCCAGGUACUAUCUUUUUGUGACCCAUAAUUAAUAGGUGUUAUUAAUUCAUCAGGUUUUACAGUAUUUGACAUAUGCACUAAUUAUUCAUGAUUAUGAUUUAUCAUUUCUGAUAGUUGUAUCAAUCAAGAACUCGAGUUUUAAGAAAGGCGGAUCAUGGCAAGAAAAGAUCAUUGACUCGAAAAGCUAGAGAAGAUGUAAUUAGGGAGAAGCGAGCAACUGUCCUUCAAGGUAUAUACUGUUGCAUCAAGAAUGUCAUCCUUAUCUUGUUUAAUACACCAUUUCACUAGUCAUUCUAGUUCAAGAGUACCUAAGGUUGGAAGUGUACAUUCCUCUAAGUAGCCACUUAAGUUUCUAAAUAAAUUCCUGGCUUGAACUACAGGCAUUGCAGCUGAACAUAAGAAAAACGAAAAAAAGGUUUCCCUAGAGGCUUGGAAAGCGUAAAAGAGCCCAACUGCUGAUGGAGGUUGCAGAUAAGUGUACUUACAAAGCCACUAUGGCUCUUAGAGUUUUUGAAGCAAUUGGACAGGGAAAAUCACUCGUAGAUAUUGCCCAACUGCUGAUGGAGGUUGCAGAUAAGUGUACUUACAAAGCCACUAUGGCUCUUAGAGUUUUUGAAGCAAUUGGACAGGGAAAAUCACUCGUAGAUAUUGCCAAAAAUCUUAUCGGCUGACCUAGCUAACUGCAGUUUAGUUGCUUUAUUUCUGCCCAGGACAAACAGUUUCUCUCCCAUUUAUUUUGGGAAGAUUGAAGCCUCUUUUUUGAAAUCUUGCAUAUCCCUUGUUGCAAUACAUGCAAGAAUUUGUAAUAUUCUCAAUAAUUUUUUAAUCUACCGCAUCUCUUGAUUAAUUAUAAAUUAUUUCACUGUAAAUAUACGUAAAUAAUUUUUUUUAAGAAAAUAUAAGUAAUUAUAUUUUAAUAUAGUUUAUAAUUAUGGUUUUGACAGGAACAAAAACAUUUAAAUGAAUAUAUAUAUAUAUAUAUAUAUAUAUAUAUAUAUAAUGAUAUUUAAUUUAAAAUUAAUAUAUAUGGGUUCCCAAAGUAGAUCUUUUAUUUUUAAGCAGACUGAUCAUAAUGAAAUUGAUCUUUUAAUUUAUCCAUAAUUAGGCCCAGCCCAAUCCUUAAAACCCUAAAAAUUUUACUAUAUAUACAAAUCAUCCUAAUUAUUUAAUUUGCCGCCUACCUCAUCAUUUCAACGUUUGCCGCCUAUCUAAUCAUUUCAAUAUUUGCCGCCUACCUCAUCAUUUUAAAAACCCCAAAAAAAUACUCACACACUGUGAGAAAAACAGCCAACAAUUAACGAGUGUCAAUCCUAGUGGCAGUAAGAAAACGACAAUUAGACUGAGAGGUACCUCAUUCUUCAUCGUGAGAAAGGCAGUUGUUGGUCUUGAGUAUACAGAGAUGUCUCUCACCAGACUUCCAAUGUUUGGGGCGAAAUCUCACCAGGAAAUUCCUGUGUUGACUUCCAUUCCUGUUCCUCCUGCAGUAGAAGUAUCUAGCCAUGCUGACAUCGAUUAUGCCCCGUUCAGGAGACCAGAGUCUUACAUCAUGUGAAAAGAUGAUGAACUGACUAGAGUGCUGGGGAGGGAAAGUGCAAUUUAUGAAAUGGAUUGUGAGGAUGAAGAAUGGUUAAACAAAUUUAAUACCGAAAAGGGAUGUGAUGAGCCCAUCUCUGCUGAUGUUUUUGAGAUGAUAAUUAGUUCAUUCGAGAAGAGAUUAUUCUGUGAUCAAGGUAAUCGUCUGGAUUUUAAGGCUGCUGUUGACCAUUGUAUAUCUCUCGGAAGAAGAGAUGUUCUACGAGCCAUCCAUAGUUACUGGAUUAAAAAGCGAAAACAGAAGCGUUCCGCCCUGGUCAAGGUUUUCCAGGUAAUAUCUUUUUGUGACCUAUAAAUAUGUUUUUUUUGACAUGGUUAUUCAUGAUUAUUAAUUUUAUGAUUCUUCAUGAUGGAUCAUUUCUGAUAGGUCUAUCAAUCAAGAACUCGAGUUUUAAGAAAGGCAGAUCAUGGCAAGAAAAGAUCAUUGACUCGAAAAGAUAGAGAAAAUGAAAUUAGGGACAUGCGAGCAACUGUCCUUCAAGGUAUAUACUGUUGCCCCAGGAAUGUCAUCCUUAUCUUGUUUAAUAAAUCAUUUCAGUCAUUCUUAUUCAAGAGUACCAGGAAGAUGAAUAUGUACUAUUAUAUAAGUAUACAUUCCUCUAAGCAGUCCCUUUAUAAGUUUUUAAAUGAAUUUCUGGUUUGAACUACAGGCAUUGCAGCUGAACAGAAGAAAAACGAAAAAAAGGUUGCCCUAGAGGCUGAUGCUGCACUUACUAAAUUAGAUGAUUUAGUCCUUGGAAAGCGUAAAAAAGCCCAACUGCUGAUGGAGGUUGCAGAUAAGUGUACUUACAAAGCAACUAUGGCUCUUAGAAUUUCUGAAGCAAUUGGGCAAGGAAAAUCACUUGUAGAUGUUGCCAAAAAUCUUCUCGGAUGACCUAGCUAACUGCAGUUUAGUUGCUUUAUUUCUGCCCAGGACAAACAGUUUCUCUCCCAUAUAUUUUGGGAAGAUUGAAGCCUCUUUUUUGAAGUCUUCCAUAUCUCUUGUUGCAAUAUAUGCAAGAAUUUGUAAUAUAUACAAUAAUUUUUUAAUCUACUACAUCUCUUGAUUAUAAUUUAUUAUUUAUUUCACUGUAGAUAUAGGUAAAUAAAAUUUUUUAACAGGAACAAAAAUAUUUAAAUGAAUAAUUUUAACAUUCUCUCUUUAAAUGGACUAUAUGAUUUGUUUACUUAUAUUUAGUGAUAUAUAGUUAUUAUUUCUUACUAGUUUAUUUUUGUAGUUGACACUUAAGUGACUGUUUUAUAAAAUGACAUUAUACAUGGUUCAUACCAAUAUUAACAAUUAAGUAAUUAAUAUUAUAAUGAUAUCACGUCUUAAUUUGAUUGGUUUUAAAUGAAACUUCUAACCAUUUUUAAAUUUUCGAUUUAUUAUGUCAAAUUACAUAUAUUAUAUUCAACGAUUUUUUUAAAAAAUUUGUAGAAAAUUUAUUUUCAGGCACCAUAGAAAUUUAAAAAGUUAAUGAGACAAAAAUUGGAAAGAGAGUAUUCUCGAUUAUGCACAUAGAACACUAUAUUAAAAUUUUAGUUAUUGAAUAAUUUAGAAAAAUAUUUAAUUGAAAUCAAUUUUUUAAUUAAAUUUUCUAAAUUUAAUUUUAAUAUUUGAUAAGCAUAAAAUUUCAUUGGUUAUACUGUAUGAGUCAACAUUUAACUUCAUGCUCAAGAUACGUAUUUAAAGUUCAUUCUUAAGUAAAAUAGUAUCAAAAAUAUAAUAUAAAUACUCAAAUACACUAUAUAUAUCCUAAUAAAACUACUUAUCAUCACCCUAUUAAAAUAAAUAUGAACUCAAUUGAGAUGUUAAUAUAUUCAAAAAUAUCUGUAAAAGAAUAAUCUCGGACCAACAAUUUUUCUUAAAUUAUCGAGGAUUAGUAUACACUAUGUUUUGUUGGAUUCACACAACUAAUUUUAAAUGAUAAAUAUAAUAAUUUAUCAAAUUAUUAAUUUUUAAUAUUUCGAUGUUUUACAAAAUAUUUGAUAAUAAAUAAAUGAUAUCAACAAUUUUUAUUUGGAAAUUAUUCUUUUAAUAUAUUAAAGGAUAUAUCCAUCAAACCAUAGAAAAUAAGGAAACACCCAAUAUUAUUUAAAAAUAAAAAAAUAAAAUAAAAUAUAUUUAAUCUUUACUAGUCAUGUAUAUUAAUUUAUGAUUCGUGAGAUUAUUGAGAAUAUCUCACGAUACUAAUAAUCUUAAGACAUAUAGAAUAAUCCGGAACAUACUAGAACUUUAAUUUCAAUUCAAAAUUAUGAGAACAUUCCGGAACUUGCAAGAACUUUGUUUGUAUAUUAAUCCAACGGCUGAGAUGAGAAUAUGAAAAUUAUAUAUGCAAGCUUUCUUCUUCAAAUUGUUCGUUGUCCCAACCACAAAUAAUUGAAUACCAUAAUAAACCCAAUUCUCAUCUGAGAACCCAUCCACAAACUCUCAUUAGCAAUAUCAUAUACGAUUUUCAAUGAUUCAAACUUUUUCUAUUUGUAAAUUUUACUUUCACCAAAUCCUAGCACUAAUUCUUAUCAUUUAGGUGUGGAUCAGGUAUGCAUUUGUGAAUUUAUUUAUGUUUUAUCUUUCAAUUAAAGAUUAAAAAUUAUAGUAACAAUCAAGCCCACAAGUAUAUGUUAUAGUUUUCAUUUUAAUUUUUUAAUUAUUUUUUGGUUGUAAGAACUUGUUGGUAAAAUUAUAAACUAGAUUUUAUAUUUUUUUUAUGUUUAACUAAUGUGAUCUUUUUGCAAGGCAGGUGUUUGUUCCCUUACUCCUUAAACAAUGAAGAUUAUGCUCCAAGUAUGGUGAUGCCUUAUUUUUAAUCCUUUUAUAAAUUUUAUCGGUCUUCUUAGUAUCAUGACUUGUCUGCAGUGUUUAUGUUUACUUUUAACUUGUGCAUAAGUUAAAUUCUUUCAUUUUUUAUUAUUGGGAUGGUAGGUUAUGGCCUUUGAAGUUUAUAAGUGCAAUUCAAUGGAGUUUGAUGAGCCAAUUAAAUUCUGAAAACACCCAUCAACCUCAACUAUAAAUGAGGCCUCCCUACAUCUCUUAAGGGAUAUAGGAGGGCAUUCUCUCAUAUUUGGGAAGAGCAGUGGACUCCGAAAGAAAGGUUCAUACAAGCUGACGAAAAUAAUUGCAAGCUUCUUUGUCUAAUAUGUGAUCAAUAAUUUCAACCUUAGUAGAAAUUUUUAUAAAGACACGUUGUAAGAGUUUCAAACAUUAUAAAUAUGUAUUUUACUUGAUGUAAGAGUUUCAAGUUUAUAUACGCAUUUUACCCACAUAAUUCUACUCGUGAUGAGAGAAAACUUACAUAUAUUUAUGUUCAUGGCUUCUAUGCUGUCAAAGUGAAUGGAGAGGGCAUUUUUCAAGAAAAAUCAAAACAGGUUAACAAGUAAAACUCUAAAUAAAAUAUAUAGAGGAAAAUAUAAGGUCAAUGAAUUCAAGGUAAAAUGAAUGAGGAUUAUUACAUUUGUAUGUCUCUCCUAUACUUAAAUUAUAGUGCAAAAAUAUUUGUAAAUAUAAUUAUAAUAAAUUUAUAUUGUCUAUUUUAAUUUAUUCCCAAAAUCACACUUUAUCCUUCUAAUUAUAAUUCAUCAUUAUUAGAAUGUCAAUAAUAUUUUUAGAAUCACAUAAAGAAUUAUGAAAAAUUCAAGUAAAAUUCUUACAAAUUAUAAAACGUAGACAGAAGCCGAUUUUCUUUUUAUCUUUCAUUCAAAGUUCAAGCUUUAAAAUCAAAUUAAAUUUGUAGUAAAUAUUAAAAAUAUAUCUAAAAGAGGGUGCAUCCAAAUGACUCCUUCAAAUGUAUCCAAUUCAUAUUUUGGAUGUCUUUUUCACAUUACUUGUACCAACAAUAUUGUUUAUCUAAUCAAAACAAGUUAUUUUUGACCAGAUGGCUAAAAUCCACCUUAUGACUGACGGCCGAUUUCAACUAAAUUUGACCAAAUGCAGUCAAAUUUAACUAAAUUUGAUCGGAAAUGGCGGUAAAAUUUACCAGUUUAAUUUUUUUUUAUUUUAAAUAAUAUAAAACAUCAAAUGAUAAUAUUUUAAUUAACAUAUCCAUUUUUAAAUUUAUAAUGAACAUAACUUUGGAGACUUUGGCCUAAAUGAGCCAAGAACCCCCUACCAAAGUAACAUGCUCAUCAACAAUUUCAACAGUCUAUUGAUGAAUGGAGCAUAGUGAAGAAGGUGCUUUAAAGUAUCAACACAAGAAUUGGUCUCCAUCCGAAAUAGACAAUUUAUCAAAGAAAAAGGUGCACCAAAUAAAUUUAAGGAAGAUAACAAGAAAUCAAUAUACCUUCCAUACUCUAUCUGAAAAAGAGCAAAUAAUUAGUGCAAAGUUUGUAAAAAAGUUUGGACCUAGUGAACAAAUUUGUGGAUUUAUUGAAGAAAAUGAUUAACAUUUUUAUGUCUAUCAUGCCCCUAGAACAAAAUAUGAUGAUACAUGGCUCAAUAAUAAUGGGUGAACAACACACAUGACAAAAACUUAAAGUCUAUAUUAUAAUGUGGAUUUUACAAUAAAUAUAUCAAUCAAUUAAUAUACCAACGCAUAGUGAUGACAGAACCUUGUCGAAUAUAAAGACGAAUAUAAAGAAAGAGUAUCAUUGAUAUUUCACAACUUUCCCUUCCAUAUAAUUAUAAUUAUAUGUAAAGGAAAGUUGCUAAAACUCUCAGGCAGGGCCCGUUUUAUAAUUUAGUGAGCCCUUAAAGAGUAGGAGUAGACGUGGAUCAUAUGACAUAAAAAAUUUAAAAGCUAAAUAAAUAUUAUCAUAAUUAACUAAUAUAAAGUAUUAUGUAGUAUUGAAUUUAUAUUUAGGAUAUAAUUAUGAGCUAGCUAAUUAUAAUCAUGUUUAAUUUUAUUUAAAACUUUUUAAAUUUGUAUAAAAUGAUCAUAUAUUUAGACACAUAUGUGUUAUCAUUUUAACUAAAAUAUAUAUACUAUGAUAUUUAAUUUAAAAUUAAUAUAUUUGGGCUCCCAAAUUAGAUCUUUUACGGUUAAGCAACUGAUCAUAAUAAAAUUGGUUUUUUAAUUUAUCCAUGAUUAGGCCCAGCCCAAUUCUAAAAACCCUACAAAUUUUACUAUAUAUACUACUUAUCCUAAUUAUUCAAUUUGCCGCCUACCUCAUCAUUUCAGUUUUUGCCGCCUAUCUCAUCUUUUUAAUAUCUGCCGCCUACCUCAUCAUAUUAAAACCCCCAAAAGAUACUCACACAUUGUGAGAAAAUCAGCUAACAAUUAACGAGUGUUAAUUCUAGUGGUACCAUUAGACUGAGAGGUACUUCAUAGUUCAUUGUGAGAAAGGCAGUUGUCUGUCUUCAUCAGUAUACAGUGAUGUCUCUCAUUGGACUAUGGUGAGUGCCAUUCCAGUCCCGGCUGCAGUUAAAGUAUCUAGCCAUGCUGACAUCGAUUAUGUCCCGUUCAGGAGACCAGAGUCUUACAUCACGUGCAAAGAUGAUGACCUAACUAGAGUGUUGGGGAGGGGAGGUGCAAUUUAUGAAAUGGAUUGUGAGGAUGAGGAAUGGUUGAACAAAUUUAAUACAGAAAAAGGAAGUGAGGAGCCCAUUUCUGCUGAUUUUUUUGAGAUGAUUAUUAGUUCAUUUGAGAAGAGAUUAUUCUGUGAUCAAGGUAAUCGUCUGGAUGUAAAGACUGCUGUUGACCAUUGUAUAUCUCUGGGAAGAAGAGAUGUUCUACGCAUAGUUACCCGGUUCGCGGGUCGACCUAGGGAACCGUGAACUGGUACGGUCGUUCCGGAACGCGGGUCGAAGUCGACCCGGAACACUCGGGAUGGCGUUCCAGUUCGCCAUUUCCGGCGAACUCUGAUCACUUACCGGCGACUAUAAAACGAGGAUGAAAUUAAGAAGAAAGAGGCGAGUAGUGGUGUUUUACCUGACCUGUGAUAUGUAUUUAUGUGGAUAUAUGUAUACAUGACUGUUUGCAGCUCAAGGUGAUGUGUGGUUUGUGGAGAAGAUGAAGCGGGGGAGAAAACGAAGUGGGGGAGAAGACAACACAGAUACCAAUGUGAUAACUCAUGAAAGUUAUGGUAGAUCGUGCUGGAUAAUAAUAAUAUAUGUAUAAGUUUUGUGUGUGUCUAUUUAAUGUGUAACCCCUGCAUUCAUUUCUAGACCCACCUAAUGCAUUUGCUGCUUGGACAAGAGCCCACUAUGGAAAGUUUCAGCACUCUCUCCGUUAUUUUUUGACGCUUUGUUUUUUUUUUAAUUUUAUAAAUAAAAAUAUGUGCUGAAAAUUUAAUUUUAAAAAACUGAUAAAUAAAUAUAAUAAUUUUUACCAUCCAGUCAACCCGUUUAAAGACCAAAAGGGAUAAAAAAAUUAUUUUAUUAUGCACCUCGUUUCACAUAAGAAACAAUUCUUAUUAUUUUUUAUUUAUUACUCUAAACUACACCUUUUAAUAUGAAUUUUGCCAAAAUAAGAUUUUUAUAUUUUUUUAAUAUAAAAAUUACGGGAUCCUUAAUUCGACCCGCGAACCCGAUUCACGGCUCCUCGUACCCGAUUCAUCCAUACUCACAUCCCGCGUACCCGAAUUCAUACCACGUACCGAAUCGAUCCACGAUCCAUGUAACUAUG
Molecule: long non-coding RNA, 27740 nt
Filed under: Daucus carota (carrot)
Lineage: Eukaryota; Viridiplantae; Streptophyta; Magnoliopsida; Apiales; Apiaceae
Description: long non-coding RNA (DCAR_LNC001331)
Source: RNAcentral